GUCAAGUAAUUAAGUGCAUGUGGUGGAUGCCUUGGCAGUCAGAGGCGAUGAAAGACGUGAUAGCCUGCGAAAAGCUCCGGGGAGGCGGCAAAUAUCCUUUGAUCCGGAGAUGUCUGAAUGGGGGAACCCACCUACUUUAAGGUAGGUAUUGCAACAUGAAUACAUAGUGUUGCAAGGCGAACGAGGGGAAGUGAAACAUCUCAGUACCCUUAGGAAAAGAAAUCAAUUGAGAUUCCCUCAGUAGCGGCGAGCGAACGGGGAUCAGCCCAUUAAGUUAUGUGUGUUUUAGUGGAACGCUCUGGGAAGUGCGAACGUAGAGGGUGAUAUUCCCGUACACGAAAGGGCACACAUAAUGAUGACGAGUAGGGCGAGGCACGUGAAACCUUGUCUGAAUAUGGGGGGACCAUCCUCCAAGGCUAAAUACUCCUGACUGACCGAUAGUGAACCAGUACCGUGAGGGAAAGGCGAAAAGAACCCCUGUGAGGGGAGUGAAAUAGAUCCUGAAACCGCAUGCAUACAAGCAGUGGGAGCACCUUCGUGGUGUGACUGCGUACCUUUUGUAUAAUGGGUCAGCGACUUAUAUUCAGUAGCGAGGUUAACCGUAUAGGGGAGCCGUAGAGAAAUCGAGUCUUAAUAGGGCGUUUAGUUGCUGGGUAUAGACCCGAAACCAGGCGAUCUAUCCAUGAGCAGGUUGAAGGUUGGGUAACACUAACUGGAGGACCGAACCCACUGUCGUUGAAAAGCCAGGGGAUGACUUGUGGAUAGGGGUGAAAGGCUAAUCAAGCCUGGUGAUAGCUGGUUCUCCCCGAAAGCUAUUUAGGUAGCGCCUCGGACGAAUACCAUAGGGGGUAGAGCACUGUUUCGGCUAGGGGGUCAUCCCGACUUACCAAACCGAUGCAAACUCCGAAUACCUAUGAGUACUAUCCGGGAGACAGACUGCGGGUGCUAACGUCCGUAGUCAAGAGGAAAACAAUCCAGACCGCCAGCUAAGGCCCCAAAAUCAUAGUUAAGUGGGAAACGAUGUGGGAAGGCAUAGACAGCUAGGAGGUUGGCUUAGAAGCAGCCACCCUUUAAAGAAAGCGUAAUAGCUCACUAGUCGAGUCGGCCUGCGCGGAAGAUGUAACGGGGCUAAAACUAUGUGCCGAAGCUGCGGAUGUAUACUUUGUAUACGUGGUAGGGGAGCGUUCUGUAAGCCGAUGAAGGUGUGUUGAGAAGCAUGCUGGAGGUAUCAGAAGUGCGAAUGCUGACGUGAGUAACGACAAAACGGGUGAAAAACCCGUUCGCCGAAAGACCAAGGGUUCCAGUCCAACGUUAAUCGGGGCUGGGUGAGUCGACCCCUAAGGCGAGGCCGAAAGGCGUAGUCGAUGGGAAAAUGGUUAAUAUUCCAUUACUUCUGUGUAAUGCGAUGAGAGGACGGAGAAGGCUAAAUCAGCCUGGCGUUGGUUGUCCAGGUGAAAGGAUGUAGGCAUG
Molecule: ribosomal RNA, 1470 nt
Filed under: Acinetobacter baumannii
Lineage: Bacteria; Pseudomonadati; Pseudomonadota; Gammaproteobacteria; Moraxellales; Moraxellaceae
Description: partial 23S ribosomal RNA
Rfam family: Bacterial large subunit ribosomal RNA
Source: RNAcentral